Long non-coding RNA from Peromyscus californicus insignis, 2389 nucleotides. RefSeq lists it as uncharacterized. Lineage: Eukaryota; Metazoa; Chordata; Mammalia; Rodentia; Cricetidae. The transcript has 3 exons. The record is from RefSeq and is a predicted model, not a curated record.
CCUCCCCAGGCUGUUGUGCUUUCUGUUUGAGUUCAGAUGCCAGUUCUACACUAAGACACCUUGAGGGGAUAGAAACAAGUCCUCGUUCCCUUAGCUGCAUGCAGUAGGUGGAAGUAGGUAUGAGGGCUGAUUUCUAUGAGCUGAUGAAGGCACUGUUCCCAAAGGUCUGCACAGGUUCACCAAGCGGAUUCAGCUUAUCUGAUAUCCCACGACCUCAAGAGCUUCAAUUUAAUCAUCACAACCAGUGGAACUGGUUGGUGUUUAACCUUGAGCCCAGAGUAACGCACAGAAGAUGAUGAUGAUAUCUGUCUUCACAAAAGGCAAGCUUGUCAGAACUACUACUAUAUCUGCAGUUUCUCACAAUAACCAGCCCCAAAUAUGCAAACUAUACUUGGGGUAUUAUAUUUUGGUCUCCUAUGAUCAUAUUUAAGGGUGAUGGGUCCUGAGCAUGAGUAACUGAGCACUGUGGAGAAAAAGAAUUGGCGGACCACUGCGCACAGAAAAGCUUGGUCUUUGUUGUAUUAAGAAACUACCUUCUGUGGGGCAGGGUGCUGAUUUAUAAAAAUAAUCCGGUGGAUUUACAAAGUGCACACAAGAGCACACACAGACUUGCAUAAAAAUGGACUUAGUCAGCUUGAGUGGUAUGUGGCCACCAACAGUGACUGAAGCAGAUGCACAGUCCUCAACAGUGACUGAACUCACCACUUAGUUUUUCUCUUUGGGAUUGCUUGCUCACAGUAAAGUUGUCCAGUUUAUUGAUAGCCAACAGAGGGUUCCAACAAAGAACCGCUCUUGUUUUUACAGCUGGGUGACUCCUGACAUAAAUAUUGUGAGAAAUUUCCGUGUCAGCACAGAGCAACUUCUAAGAUACAUUAACAAGAAGAAAUAAAAGGUACAGAGGUUUGUGCCAAAUUCCUUCUUCUCUAUGUAGGAAAAGAUGAAGAGCAAAAGGUGUGUUCAUAUCUGCUUAUAUUUUCACAAAGAAACCCCAGAUAGGCCGUGUGAAUCUUUAAACAAGUGGUAACCAGGGUACAUAUCAGAAGAGGUAAUGAAAGUGAGGCUCCAGGCUGGCUGUGGCUUCCCCAACUCAUGUUGAAAGUUACUUGCCAUUUAAAGAAUAUGAGGUGAGACUUUUAGGGUGCGGUGAUGUCAUGGGAGUCAGUAGAGGUUGUUACUGUGGGAGUUAGUUACAGUCCAGUGUACUCCUGAUAAAAGAGAAAGAAAGAGAGAUCUUGACUCCUCUUCUGCUGCAUAUACUGAUUUGUCCCUUCUGCUACGUCCUGACAUAGCAGAAGUCGCCACCAGAAGCUGAUACUGUGUUCUCGACUUUCCCAGCCACCAGAGACAUGAGCCACAUAAUUUAUUAUUCUUUUGGUAUGCUAGUUUUUUUUUUUUUUUUUACUUUUUUUAUUUGUGACUGAGUCUCAAUCUGUAGCACAGGCUAUUUUGGAACUUGCUAGGUAGCCAAAAUUAACUUGUAACUUACAGCAAUCCUCCUGCCUCAGCCAUUUGAGUGAUGAGAUUACAAGCAUGGUAUUCUUCUACAGUCACAGACAAGGAACUGAGAUAGAUGAAAUGUGUUUUUACAAUGGUUUUUGUCUUUUGACUGUAUGUGCAUUUUAGCUUUCCAAAAAUAACAUUGAAGAUCACCAGAUGUAAUCUAAGCAAAUCUAUUUGUUUAUACCAUACAAUAACAACGGGCUAUUGAAAACCAGCUUUCGCUUCCUGUCACUUGGCAAGCUUGUAAACACCCACUGUUGAGAGUUCAGAGACCUGCAGCAGAGUAGAUUCUCUCUGGAUCGCGUGUGAUCUCUUCCUGAUAUUCACAACACAGUGACAGCUGCUGCCUUCCUCUCGGGAUUCCAGCUUUUGCUGCCACCCCAGAGCACAGCAGAAAAGAGGCCCAGUCCAGAGCACAGCAGAGAAGAGGUGAUGCAGACACCUCUUCCAAGGCUGUUUGACUUCCCAAACAGGGCCACCAACUGUGGAGCAAGUGUCCGAAUACCUGAGCUAUGGGGGACGUCUCUCAUCUAAACCACCAUAAUUAUCAGUCCGUGUAAUUGGAAGUGACACUCAACCAAAGCACCAAUAUGGUUAAUGAUUUUGAAGUUCAAGAGGAUUUUCUGCUGUUACAUGUCUUACAAGUCAUGUUACACACACAUUAUGGCAUUGGAACAAAUCUGGCAGGUCUGGAUGCAAAUUUUUGUGCCCCUAGAACCGAUGGCUUGAAACAAGUUCUCUAAGAACACUCGACUUCAUGCAAACUGCUUGCUAAGACUGAAUGUAAAAUCUGAAGUGUACAAUUAGGCAAUGACAUUUGUUAUUUGCUCAGGCACUAUAAUUUGCAGUAGAAAGCCCAAACCUCUGUGCUCUGUGAUCUGUAUGUAUU